This is a long non-coding RNA of Pongo pygmaeus (Bornean orangutan), 328 nucleotides long. RefSeq lists it as uncharacterized. The record is from RefSeq and is a predicted model, not a curated record. NCBI's taxonomy places the organism in Eukaryota, Metazoa, Chordata, Mammalia, Primates, Hominidae. The transcript is spliced from 3 exons.
UAAUUUGUUUCCUCCAGACUCCUUCUACAUCUGUUAUUCAAGGUUCAGACUCAAUAUGCAACUAAUUUAUGAAGCCCAUUUAGACCACAAUAACCCUGAUGCAAGAUGUUCUCCACUAUGUUAAGAUGCAGCAUGAAGCCCUUACCAGAAGCUAAGAGUAUUUCGUUAGAGCAACACAAAACAGACUAAGACAACUUGUUCAUUACUGACGUAUAGAAAAGACUAAACCAGGAAGAAGUAAUAGCGUACCAACCAAAAAAAGUCCAGGACCAGACAGAUUCACAGCCGAAUUCUACCAGAGGUACAAGGAGGAGCCGGUACCAUUCCU